AUGAUCUUCCUCCUCCUCUCCUCAUCGAAGCCACCAUCAUCUUUCCGACAACUGUUGACUCUCCUCAUUUCUCUCUCCCCAGACCGACCGGAUUCGGUGGCCUUGAGCUCGUGGCCGCCGGAUCUCCGAUGGCGGGGCGAGUGGCAGGGUCCGGGUGGGUGGUGGGAUCCUGUGAGGAUCGAGGGGGCAGCGGGAUCUGGUAGGGAGGCCGACGAUGGAUCUGGUGGGGAGGUAGGGACUAGGGAGGUAAUCUCACCUUUAAAAAGGAGGAGGUACCAAACUUAAUUUUAUACAA
RNAcentral lists this long non-coding RNA (295 nucleotides) under Oryza sativa Indica Group (long-grained rice). RNAcentral describes it as "lncRNA OsMH63_01G016540". Lineage: Eukaryota; Viridiplantae; Streptophyta; Magnoliopsida; Poales; Poaceae. The record is from RNAcentral.